Molecule: ribosomal RNA, 264 nt
Filed under: uncultured archaeon
Lineage: Archaea
Description: partial 16S ribosomal RNA
Rfam family: Archaeal small subunit ribosomal RNA
Source: RNAcentral
CAGCCGUAAACAAUGUGCGUUAGGUAUGUCGGUAACCACGUGUUACUGAUGUGCCGAAGAGAAAUCGUGAAACGCACCACCUGGGAAGUACGGUCGCAAGGCUGAAACUUAAAGGGAAUUGGCGGGGGGAGGCACCACAACAGGUGGAGCCUGCGGUUUAAUUGGAUUCAACGCCGGACAUCUCACCGGAUAAGACAGCUGAAUGAUUGUCAAUCUGAAGGUUUUACAUGACUAGCUGAGAGGAGGUGCAUGGCGUCAGUGACU